RNAcentral lists this unclassified non-coding RNA (293 nucleotides) under uncultured fungus. RNAcentral describes it as "partial contains 5.8S ribosomal RNA and internal transcribed spacer 2". The stretch from base 1 to 133 matches the Rfam family "5.8S ribosomal RNA", at positions 22 to 154 of the family's 154-position model. Lineage: Eukaryota; Fungi. The record is from RNAcentral.
UGGCUCUCGCAUCGAUGAAGAACGCAGCGAAAUGCGAUAAGUAAUGUGAAUUGCAGAAUUCAGUGAAUCAUCGAAUCUUUGAACGCAACUUGCGCCCUCUGGUAUUCCGGAGGGCAUGCCUGUUUGAGUGUCAUGUAGAAUCAUCUAAUCAGGUUUCUGAUCAAGAUGGAUUUGGGAGUUUUGCCUUUGUUGGCUCUCCUUAAAAGCAUUAUGCAGACGUAAUAAGUUUCGUCGUACGCAUAUUACUACUAUAUUUGUACUCUGGCCUCAAAUCAGGUAGGGCUACCCGCUGA